UACGAAGGGGGCUAGCGUUGCUCGGAAUCACUGGGCGUAAAGCGCACGUAGGCGGCUUUCUAAGUCAGGGGUGAAAUCCUGGAGCUCAACUCCAGAACUGCCUUUGAUACUGGAGAGCUUGAGUCCGGGAGAGGUGAGUGGAACUCCGAGUGUAGAGGUGAAAUUCGUAGAUAUUCGGAAGAACAUCAGUGGCGAAGGCGGCUCACUGGCCCGGUACUGACGCUGAUGUGCGAAAGCGUGGGGAGCAAACAGG
This 253-nucleotide ribosomal RNA is filed under the name uncultured bacterium. RNAcentral describes it as "partial 16S ribosomal RNA". It matches the Rfam family "Bacterial small subunit ribosomal RNA", at positions 524 to 776 of the family's 1533-position model. The record is from RNAcentral.